UUUGGGCUCACCGUGGAACGGAUACUUGGUAAUCUGCGCAGAAAAGACACCUUCUUUUUUGUUCCAUUUCCUUUGGUUUUGUUCGAACUGCUCGCGGCUUCUUCCGUCGUGAUUUUUUUCGAAAAGUUUUUUUCUGCUUCGAUAUUUACAUAUUUUUUAUCACUCAUCACUAUUGCCUCGGCAAGAACAUUUUUACGUGGAUUUAAUUCUUCAGGCGGAGUACUUGGAAGUGAUGAUCUCCAGCUUAACUGACAGCUUGAUUGAGUACCUACCUACUGUAUCUACAACGCAAGCUUGCGAUAAGAUAGGAUUUCGAUAGCAGUGAUUAUGUUAUGAUUUAUAUAUGUAGCUUUAUGGAGUGUUUUGUCACAACACAACCAUAGCUAUUAAAUGCUUUCUUUUGGUAGAUCCUUAGGUAUUGUCCACUUACAUAUUCAAGCCUGUUACUUUUUUUUUAACAAUGACUCAGUUUGACCUGUUUUAGUUUUGAGGACUAAGACUAAAAAAUAAGAAAUAAGUUGGUAUCUCGUGAACCAGACGUUUUUCACCGACAUAUUAAACAACUUGUUUACAUAAAAACCUCAAAAAAUUAAUACCAAAUACCAUAGGUACAUACAUACCAUUCGGGACAGCCCCACAAUUUUCAGCUACUCUGGGCUCUAGUUUUGUAUGGAAUAUCUCGCUGCUUUUUUCGGGACGUCAUCAUGGUUGGUCUCAUGGGGAAAUGGGUUCAAUUACCAUCUUCUUCACUUUUGGUAAUUUUUUGUCAAUAAUGGUUGGAAUUGGUACAAUCGAUGCCCUAUUGGCCCUAUUUAUUAUUAUUGGGGUGUUGUGGGCCUUUGGGUGCCACGUCGACCAAGCAGUGAUCUACUGUGACGGCCCUUCAAAGUUCAAGAAAUUACAGAUUAGAAUAAGGGCAGAAAUAUACAGACAGGGCCAUAAUAAAGGUAUAAGUGCAAUCCAUGCAUGAGAGGAGGGCUAAACCGAGGGCCGAUCUUUGAAUUUCGAGCUGUCUCUGAAAAUCUGUGGAAAAAGAUGAAAUGCUACCUACUCGUAUUUUUGAAAUACGAGCGAUAAAAAAUUUCAAUUUUAUGAGUAGAAUUUAAAUGUCCCAUACACAUGGUCCUACUUACUUACUCAGUGGUAGCCGCCAAAGUCACAGAGGUUGUUAUGGUGGUGGUCAUCGGGUCAUAGACUCAGCGGCAAGCGGCCGCAAGUCUAUUCUAUACUACUGAUAGUGCGUUCUUGUGUAUGUGAUAGUGAAGCCAAAAAUAUGUUUUUAUGUCCAUGUGAAAAUAGCCGUGAAACUUUUGUCAUAUGCGAUUAUUUUCGAUUAGGUACUCGCCUUCGAUUUCGAGCGCUCGAAUUUCAAAAAUUGGGCUGUGGCCGCCUGUACCUAGCAGCAGCAAAUAUACUUAUGUACAGGCUAAGUAUAUUUUAAAUUAUUAAUACAUAGUUCUUCGGUACCUACUUAGAGUAACAGGUAAUACUUACUUUACUCUUUGAACAGGUAAAUAUCUUAGUGACAAAUUCGAUUGCAACCUUGAGCCCAGGAACCGUGACGUUUUACCUUGUAAUCGCAGCCCGGUGGUGGACUUCCGAUGUCCAAAAUCGACGUCAAGGAGAGGCAUUCGAAUUUCAAAAAUCUGAUCUUGAUUUGAUAAUAUUAUCCGUGCACCUCACUCACAUUUGUAUAUUUGUGUAGAAAAGAAGUAAAAAAGUUAUUUUUUUUCCAAAACAAUACGCUUUCAUUUUUAAUUAUAAAAAGUAUUAACAGCAUGAAUCUUUCAGAAACGGGUUUUUUAUAUUUUUUACGCCAUUUUAGCACGUUUUUUAAUAACACAUAGGUACGAAAAGUAAGUAAAAUAGUAAAGGAACGGUUUCGCCAAAAAGUACGGUUUUGGACGGGGUACAUUUUUAGUACGUAUGCUCCUCAAAAAGUACGUAAAAUUGUACUUACUAAAAAGUGGCAACGCUGAUAUUUAUGCACUCGAAAUGAAUUGAUAGUUAAUCAAGAUCAGAUGUUUUAAGCUCGAAUGACCGUACUUUACCUAUUAUCUAUACGACACCCACUUCAAAAGGAAAUUGACACAACAGUUUCGUAAUAUUUUUAUGGGUUACCGUUACCACGGCAAAUCAUUACAGUUUUUCCGAUGAUUCCUUUACCAAGCAAGCUACAUAGGUAGAGAUAGGUAAGGUAAUACUUACGGAUAGAACUUUAUGUGAAUCAGAGACUAGUCAUUAGAUAUUCCUAGUACGGUUUAGUUUUUUUUUAUUUAUACCAUGACGGUGGCAAACAAGCAUACGGCCCGCCUGAUGGUAAGCAGUCACCGCAGCCUAUGGACGCCUGCAACUCCAGAGGUGUUACAUGCGCGUUGCCGACCCUUUAAAAACCUGUACACUCCUUUAUUGAAGAACCCCAUACUGUAGACCCUCGGGAAAACCUCGGAAGGGAGCUCAUUAGUUAUUUCAGCAAUAUGAAAAGUAUGCAUUUAGUUUACUGUAGGUUAUGUUGUUAUUCGUAUCGUAAUAAUGUGGAACCUCGCAAACUCGAAAACUUUUUUAAGAUGAAUAAAAAGGUAAGUAUAAGAACCAUUUUAAGUCUAUACCCUCGAAUCUAUAAUACGAAAAGUCGUUAACACGAUUUUUUUUUCGUUUUACUUCAGAUUCGUGCUACCGAGGUUCCACUGUACCAGUAGGUAUAUCGUCAAAAACGUAUCAAAUUAUUACCGAGUUAUUUGGGUAAAACUGCUUAUGCUGCUCAUGUGAAACAUUGCUUCGUAACAAACGUAGGCACUCGACGCCUAGCAUGUUUGAAACCCAUAAGGUUUUAUGCCUGCGUGACGGAAUUUAGUGCACUUAAGUAAUUAACACAAUUUUAUUUUAAGUUCCUACCAGUAAAACAACGCGGCCCGUGCCCGUGGAUCUGUUCUUGAAAUAGCGUACCUAUUGCUAUUAAAUUGAAAACGUAUUGCGGUGCCAAUCGCUUUGGCGCCAAAUGUUAAUCACUAUUAAAUCAAGUUCCUAUUGAAAGGCUGUUUGAAAAUUUGAUUCAUCUAUUGGAAUUGUGUACAGCCUGUGCAGAGAUAAAUGACCUCCCCUGCAUAGAAAUUUGUUUGCAGGGGGGCGGGUCUACUAUAUCUGCAGCUGGCUGUUAGGUACAUGAGUAAAACAUUAGGUUUGCGCUUAUUCAUUUCAUGUAUACUUACUGAAAUUAAUGAUAUUUAAUUUGAAUUUAAAUUAUAUUCUAUUUCGAUUUGUUGUUUUGCUGAAUGCAUAUCACAGUACUCGGUAUUUCUCAGUAGACUACGUCGUAAGGGCGUGAGUAAUAGCAAGGUUGGUUUGUUCUCAUUUUCCAACGUGUGACGUAUAAGUUUUGAAGGUCUAACUGUCUCGGUUUUUUAUUUAGUUUUUCUUAUAAGCAUAAGAGAGACGGCACAAAAGUAUUGUGUAGGCAGCCUGCGCGGGCGUUCACGUCAUGACUGCUUACGUGAUUAAGAACGCAUUUUGUCUCGGACUGUAAUAUAAUUCCUAAUGUUACUUGAUCUUGCCAUACGUUACAACUGUGGGUAAUCGGUGAUUAUACUUAUACUGGUUAGUCUGAGGCCAACCAAGCGCUCGUUAAUCGUGAACACCAGGCCAGUUUUCCUCGUCGGCGCGGCAGUUAGUAAUAAUGCUUCAACACUGGAACUAACACGGAUUUAUUAUUUUCCAACUACUUGAAACGUGAAGGUGAAACUUAUUGAAUUGAAAAGUAUGGGCUGCAACAUCUCGUGCCGGCCUUGCUGCUGCUGCUGCAUCCCGUGCCUGUGCUGCGACUGCUGCGCGGAGCCGCCCCCGCCCACCACCGUCAACGUGGUGCACCACCACGUGCCCGCGCCCGUCACCGUCGUGCACCAGCCGCCGCCACCCUACGCCAGAUAGUACUUACUAAUACGAAACACUAUCAUUUAUGGCUUUUACAGACAGUUGACAAAACACUAAAUAUAUAUUACAAAGUUAGUUAAGAAAACACCGUUACUUUGUGGUGAUUAUUUCAAAGCGGACUGACGCGUUGUGUUCGUUUGUAUUUUUAUUUCUGUGCUCUUUUGGCUUGAGAGGAAUACAAACAGUCGAUGAUCACAGUCGAUUAAGUGCAAUAGGUGCAUUGUUUUUGAAAUAAGUCAUAGUUACUUGGUUGGUUGGUCUUUACCAAACGAAUUAAAAGUAAUAGUAAAGAAAGGUUAAGAAAAUGAAACGAAACAAUGGCGAGAAUUAUAACUAUGUAGUAUUUAAAAUGGAGUUAUACCAAGUAUAUUUGUUUUAAUGAAUUUCCGAUACUCUAACUAACAAUAUUCACUAAAAUAAAUACCCCGUUUUAAAUAGUAGUUAAUACAAAAUGAUUAUGUUAUCUUGAACGCGUAAAUUACGGGAAUGUUAAUUUAUUUCUUCAGCAAAAUUGUGCCCUACUUCAACCCUGUACAGUUUUGUUUUUACCUUAGUAUUACCUUAUAUACUUAGGUACCUACCGGAUGUCUAUUUUUUUCUGAUAAUGAGCCUAAUCAUAUCAAUGCUAUUAUCUAUGAAAAUUAGAAUUACAUAUGGUUAGUGAUGAGAUAUACGAUUUCUUUAUAUGGGGUCAUCCAUUAAUUACAUCACACGUUUAGGGAGAGGGUCAAGAAAAUGUGUCAUGUUGUGACAAGGGGGAGAGGGGGAGUCACAAACUUUGUGAUGUCACUUAUAUUCGCUGUACAGUAAAAUUUUCUUUCCUAAUUGGUCUUGUGUUAUAAAAUUACUAAUAUUAACAAAAAAUGUGACGUCACAACAGGGGGAGGGGUAAAAAAACCUAGAAAAACGUAAUUAAUUGAAGACCCCUUUUUUAACAAGUUAAUGAUAUAUUUCCGCUGUUAUCUUACAUUUAUUUUGCAAAAAUAAACUGUUGAAGUAGAAAUAUCAACGAACGCAUUUAUUAUACUUUAUUUUAUGUAUCAGUAGCAAAUACCAAAAAGAUCUGCACAUGACUUCACUACUACAGCGCAUAUUAUAGAGUCAUGUCGUGCGGACUGCAUAAAGCAUAUGAUUGACGGAAUGAGAGGAACGGCCCAAUUCGAACAAUGCUUACCUAUAUAUAAGAUGUCACACCGUUAUGAUACUGAUCUGUCACUGUCAAGUGACAUUUCUUCAACCAAAAAUGACACUUGACACUUGGCUUGACCCAACAGCAAAGACGUCUUGUACGUGUUGAUUUUUCUUAGUUUUAAUUUUAUCUUUGUAAUUGUUUAAGUACCUAUCAACUUUUGUAUGUACUUAUUAGUUAAAUUAAAUUCCUUUUUUAUUCUUACGGUUAGAAUAGAAAAGAACUAAAUAGACAUUUAGUAUGGUAAAAAGGUAUUUCCUAAUUUAUGUUAUGUAUAAUUUGUAUAUAUGAACAAAAGUCAGUUGUAUUAAUGCAUUUUCAUUCAUUUUAGUUUACAAGCCUCGAGUUUAUGCUUGUAUAAUGUAAUAUAUGUAUAAGUGUAAAUAAUAUUAAGGAAAAUUUAUAAAAUAAUAAGAAAAAAUAAAUCUAUUAUUUAGA
Molecule: long non-coding RNA, 5554 nt
Organism: Cydia pomonella (codling moth)
Lineage: Eukaryota; Metazoa; Arthropoda; Insecta; Lepidoptera; Tortricidae
Exons: 2
Source: RefSeq, a predicted model, not a curated record